RNAcentral lists this transfer RNA (71 nucleotides) under Ceratocystis cacaofunesta. RNAcentral describes it as "tRNA-Ile". The record is from RNAcentral. Lineage: Eukaryota; Fungi; Ascomycota; Sordariomycetes; Microascales; Ceratocystidaceae.
UCUCAUAAAUUUGAUGGUAUAGGAGGAUUUUUAUAAAAUCUUUGUUUUAGUUUGAAUCUAAAAUGAGAAAU